GAUGAAGAACGUAGCGAAAUGCGAUAAGUAGUGUGAAUUGCAGAAUUCAGUGAAUCAUCGAAUCUUUGAACGCACAUUGCGCCAUUUGGUAUUCCAAAGGGCAUGCCUGUUCGAGCGUCAUUUGUACCCUCAAGCUUUGCUUGGUGUUGGGCGUCUUGUCUCUAGCUUUGCUGGAGACUCGCCUUAAAGUAAUUGGCAGCCGGCCUACUGGUUUCGGAGCGCAGCACAAGUCGCACUCUCUAUCAGCAAAGGUCUAGCAUCCAUUAAGCCUUUUUUUCAACUUUUGACCUCGGAUCAGGUAGGGAUACCCGCUGAACUUAAGCAUAUCAAUAAGCGGAGGA
Molecule: unclassified non-coding RNA, 341 nt
Filed under: soil metagenome
Description: partial contains 5.8S ribosomal RNA, internal transcribed spacer 2, and large subunit ribosomal RNA
Rfam family: 5.8S ribosomal RNA (bases 1-120)
Source: RNAcentral